This 1447-nucleotide ribosomal RNA is filed under the name Bacteroides ovatus. RNAcentral describes it as "bacterial SSU rRNA". It matches the Rfam family "Bacterial small subunit ribosomal RNA". Lineage: Bacteria; Pseudomonadati; Bacteroidota; Bacteroidia; Bacteroidales; Bacteroidaceae. The record is from RNAcentral.
GAUGAACGCUAGCUACAGGCUUAACACAUGCAAGUCGAGGGGCAGCAUUUUAGUUUGCUUGCAAACUGAAGAUGGCGACCGGCGCACGGGUGAGUAACACGUAUCCAACCUGCCGAUAACUCCGGGAUAGCCUUUCGAAAGAAAGAUUAAUACCGGAUAGCAUACGAAUAUCGCAUGAUAUUUUUAUUAAAGAAUUUCGGUUAUCGAUGGGGAUGCGUUCCAUUAGUUUGUUGGCGGGGUAACGGCCCACCAAGACUACGAUGGAUAGGGGUUCUGAGAGGAAGGUCCCCCACAUUGGAACUGAGACACGGUCCAAACUCCUACGGGAGGCAGCAGUGAGGAAUAUUGGUCAAUGGGCGAGAGCCUGAACCAGCCAAGUAGCGUGAAGGAUGAAGGCUCUAUGGGUCGUAAACUUCUUUUAUAUGGGAAUAAAGUUUUCCACGUGUGGAAUUUUGUAUGUACCAUAUGAAUAAGGAUCGGCUAACUCCGUGCCAGCAGCCGCGGUAAUACGGAGGAUCCGAGCGUUAUCCGGAUUUAUUGGGUUUAAAGGGAGCGUAGGUGGAUUGUUAAGUCAGUUGUGAAAGUUUGCGGCUCAACCGUAAAAUUGCAGUUGAAACUGGCAGUCUUGAGUACAGUAGAGGUGGGCGGAAUUCGUGGUGUAGCGGUGAAAUGCUUAGAUAUCACGAAGAACUCCGAUUGCGAAGGCAGCUCACUAGACUGUCACUGACACUGAUGCUCGAAAGUGUGGGUAUCAAACAGGAUUAGAUACCCUGGUAGUCCACACAGUAAACGAUGAAUACUCGCUGUUUGCGAUAUACAGUAAGCGGCCAAGCGAAAGCAUUAAGUAUUCCACCUGGGGAGUACGCCGGCAACGGUGAAACUCAAAGGAAUUGACGGGGGCCCGCACAAGCGGAGGAACAUGUGGUUUAAUUCGAUGAUACGCGAGGAACCUUACCCGGGCUUAAAUUGCAACAGAAUAUAUUGGAAACAGUAUAGCCGUAAGGCUGUUGUGAAGGUGCUGCAUGGUUGUCGUCAGCUCGUGCCGUGAGGUGUCGGCUUAAGUGCCAUAACGAGCGCAACCCUUAUCUUUAGUUACUAACAGGUUAUGCUGAGGACUCUAGAGAGACUGCCGUCGUAAGAUGUGAGGAAGGUGGGGAUGACGUCAAAUCAGCACGGCCCUUACGUCCGGGGCUACACACGUGUUACAAUGGGGGGUACAGAAGGCGGCUACCUGGUGACAGGAUGCUAAUCCCAAAAACCUCUCUCAGUUCGGAUCGAAGUCUGCAACCCGACUUCGUGAAGCUGGAUUCGCUAGUAAUCGCGCAUCAGCCAUGGCGCGGUGAAUACGUUCCCGGGCCUUGUACACACCGCCCGUCAAGCCAUGAAAGCCGGGGGUACCUGAAGUACGUAACCGCAAGGAGCGUCCUAGGGUAAACUGGUAAUUGGG